RNAcentral lists this ribosomal RNA (764 nucleotides) under uncultured bacterium. RNAcentral describes it as "bacterial SSU rRNA". It matches the Rfam family "Bacterial small subunit ribosomal RNA", at positions 97 to 894 of the family's 1533-position model. The record is from RNAcentral.
GGCGGACGGGUGUGUAACGCGUAAGAACUUACCCUAAAGUGGGGGACAACCUCGAGAAAUCGGGGCUAAUACCGCAUACGCUCCGCAAGGAGGAAAGCUACGGCGCUUUAGGAUGGGCUUGCGUCCGAUUAGCUAGUUGGUGAGGUAAUGGCCCACCAAGGCUUAGAUCGGUAGCUGGUCUGAGAGGAUGAUCAGCCACACUGGAAUUGAGAUACGGUCCAGACUCCUACGGGAGGCAGCAGCAGGGAAUAUUGCGCAAUGGGUGAAAGCCUGACGCAGCAACGCCGCGUGGGGGAUGACGGCUUUCGAGUUGUAAACCCCUUUUCUUGGGGAAGAUAAUGACGGUACCCGAGGAAUAAGUCUCGGCUAACUACGUGCCAGCAGCCGCGGUAAGACGUAGGAGGCGAGCGUUAUCCGGAUUUACUGGGCGUAAAGGGCGUGUAGGUGGUUCUCCAAGUCUUUGGUGAAAUCUCCCGGCUUAACUGGGAGGCUGCCAGAGAAACUAGGGAACUUGAGGGCAGCAUAGGGGAGUGGAAUUCCCGGUGUAGUGGUGAUAUGCGUAGAGAUCGGGAGGAACACCAGUGGCGAAAGCGGCUCCCUGGGCUGUACCUGACACUGAGGCGCGAAAGCGUGGGGAGCAAACAGGAUUAGAUACCCUGGUAGUCCACGCUGUAAACGAUGGAUACUAGGUAUGGGGGGUAUCGACCCUCUUCGUGCCGAAGCUAACGCUUUAGGUAUCCCGCCUGGGACUACGGCCGCAAGGC